RNAcentral lists this ribosomal RNA (460 nucleotides) under uncultured bacterium. RNAcentral's name for it is "partial 16S ribosomal RNA". It matches the Rfam family "Bacterial small subunit ribosomal RNA", at positions 338 to 795 of the family's 1533-position model. The record is from RNAcentral.
CCUACGGGUGGCAGCAGUGAGGAAUAUUGGUCAAUGGGCUGACGCCUGAACCAGCCAAGUCGCGGGAGGGAAGACUGCCCUAUGGGUUGUAAACCUCUUUUGUCAGGGAGCAACGCCGGCUACGUGUAGCCGGACUGAGAGUACCUGAAGAAAAAGCAGCGGCCAACUCCGUGCCAGCAGCCGCGGUAAUACGGAGGAUGCGAGCGUUAUCCGGAUUGAUUGGGUUUAAAGGGUGCGUAGGCGGAAUGCCAAGUCAGCGGUAAAAUCGCGGGGCUCAACCUCGCUCCGCCGUUGAAACUGGCGUUCUUGAGUGGGCGAGAAGUAUGCGGAAUGCGUGGUGUAGCGGUGAAAUGCAUAGAUAUCACGCAGAACUCCGAUUGCGAAGGCAGCAUACCGGCGCCCAACUGACGCUGAAGCACGAAAGCGUGGGUAUCGAACAGGAUUAGAUACCCGUGUAGUC